Molecule: ribosomal RNA, 460 nt
Filed under: uncultured bacterium
Lineage: Bacteria
Description: partial 16S ribosomal RNA
Rfam family: Bacterial small subunit ribosomal RNA
Source: RNAcentral
CCUACGGGAGGCAGCAGUGAGGAAUAUUGGUCAAUGGACGAGAGUCUGAACCAGCCAAGUAGCGUGAAGGAUGACUGCCCUAUGGGUUGUAAACUUCUUUUAUAUGGGAAUAAAACGUUCCACGUGUGGGAUUUUGUAUGUACCAUAUGAAUAAGGAUCGGCUAACUCCGUGCCAGCAGCCGCGGUAAUACGGAGGAUCCGAGCGUUAUCCUGAUUUAUUGGGUUUAAAGGGAGCGUAGGUGGAUUGUUAAGUCAGUUGUGAAAGUUUGCGGCUCAACCGUAAAAUUGCAGUUGAAACUGGCAGUCUUGAGUACAGUAGAGGUGGGCGGAAUUCGUGGUGUAGCGGUGAAAUGCUUAGAUAUCACGAAGAACUCCGAUUGCGAAGGCAGUUCACUGGACUGCAACUGACACUGAGGCUCGAAAGUGUGGGUAUCAAACAGGAUUAGAUACCCUUGUAGUC